RNAcentral lists this ribosomal RNA (490 nucleotides) under uncultured bacterium. RNAcentral's name for it is "partial 16S ribosomal RNA". It matches the Rfam family "Bacterial small subunit ribosomal RNA", at positions 30 to 507 of the family's 1533-position model. The record is from RNAcentral.
AUUGAACGCUGGCGGCAGGCCUAACACAUGCAAGUCGAAUGGUAACAGGAAACAGCUUGCUGUUUCGCUGACGAGUGGCGGACGGGUGAGUAAUGUCUGGGAAACUGCCUGAUGGAGGGGGAUAACUACUGGAAACGGUAGUUAAUACCGCAUAACGUCGCAAGACCAAAGAGGGGGACCUUCGGGCCUCUUGCCAUCAGAUGUGCCCAGAUGGGAUUAGCUAGUAGGUGGGGUAACGGCUCACCUAGGCGACGAUCCCUAGCUGGUCUGAGAGGAUGACCAGCCACGCUGGAACUGAGACACGGUCCAGACUCCUACGGGAGGCAGCAGUGGGGAAUAUUGCACAAUGGGCGCAAGCCUGAUGCAGCCAUGCCGCGUGUAUGAAGAAGGCCUUCGGGUUGUAAAGUACUUUCAGCGGGGAGGAAGGGAGUAAAGUUAAUACCUUUGCUCAUUGACGUUACCCGCAGAAGAAGCACCGGCUAACUCCGUG